UGGGGAAUUUUGCACAAUGGGCGCAAGCCUGAUGCAGCGACGCCGCGUGAGGGAUGAAGGCCUUCGGGUUGUAAACCUUUUUCGCUCAUGGUCAAGCCGCAGCUUUGGGUUGUGGUGAGGGUAGUGGGUAAAGAAGCGCCGGCUAACUACGUGCCAGCAGCCGCGGUAAUACGUAGGGCGCGAGCGUUGUCCGGAAUUAUUGGGCGUAAAGCGCGCGCAGGUGGUUUAGAAAGUCUGAUGUGAAAGCCCACGGCUCAACCGUGGAGGGUCAUUGGAAACUAAUAAACUUGAGUGCAGGAGAGAAAAGUGGAAUUCCUAGUGUAGCGGUGAAAUGCGUAGAGAUUAGGAGGAACACCGGUGGCGAAAGCGGCUUUUUGGCCUGCAACUGACACUGAGGCGCGAAAGCGUGGGGAGCAAACAGG
RNAcentral lists this ribosomal RNA (422 nucleotides) under Verrucomicrobiota bacterium. RNAcentral describes it as "Verrucomicrobia bacterium partial 16S ribosomal RNA". It matches the Rfam family "Bacterial small subunit ribosomal RNA", at positions 355 to 776 of the family's 1533-position model. Lineage: Bacteria; Pseudomonadati; Verrucomicrobiota. The record is from RNAcentral.